Onychostoma macrolepis is the source of this 2121-nucleotide long non-coding RNA. RefSeq lists it as uncharacterized. NCBI's taxonomy places the organism in Eukaryota, Metazoa, Chordata, Actinopteri, Cypriniformes, Cyprinidae. The transcript has 3 exons. The record is from RefSeq and is a predicted model, not a curated record.
AACGUCAAUCUGUUUUUAUUUUUCAAGCAGAUCAUAAUUUGUGACGAAUUUGGAAUUAUGUAAUGCUGUAAAUGACUGAUCUUUGCAAUUAUAUCAACAAACUUUACAUAUGCUUACAAAAUUAUAGUGUUUUGUAACUCACUGUAAAACUGAAAGUUGUGUUUUUUUAACUCUUUGAAUUGUAUGUGUGUCUGUGAUUGGAGAUUGUUUUCUGUAAACUUUCUCAAUAAAUGAGUCUUAUUUUUUAUGCGACAUACUAAUCUUUGUCUUUAUAGUCUUUACAGUUCAAAACUCACCAUGCUGUAGGAUGAUGAGGUGACAAUGGGACUUGCAGUUUUCUCCAUGAAUGCUACUAAAGAUGAUCUAAGUGAUGAUAACCCUGUAGCCACAAUGAAUGAUAGAACAGCUGGCUACAACUGAGAAAUGCAAAGGCUUUCUGUUAAAGAACCCAACAUAGAUCCUUCCCUUUUUCCCACUAGAGCUUUAUGUCCAACUACAACAUUGUCUUCUAUGAUUUUAUUUCUUUGUUACCAUCCUAAGUUUCUUAAAAUAUUUUUUCUCAGCUUCAAUACUGCUCUUCUGUUUAUGCAAGUCUUGUGACAAGUGCUAAAUGUAACCACAUAAGCAGAACAUAUCCAUAAUUCAUAAUAGAUCCUGAAACAAUCAGUUAAUUACGCUUUAAGACAUUAUUAAAUACUGAACACAUCAUUACUCUUAUAAUCAUUUGGCACCUCAAUCUAAAGCAUCAAAUAGUAUGGGGACUUUGCUGUAACUUACUUUUUGCAAACAAAGUUGUCUUUAACAGUUUUUUUAAAUUGUUGCUAAAUUGUUGUUGUUGUUUUUUGGGCCUAAGGUUGGUGCUCUGAGGUUGAUUGGUAGGCUCUACAAUCAUAUAAUAGAAAACUCUCUUUUACACAUCAUAAUGUAGUAAUAUUGUAUUUGAAUUAAUUAAAAUGUUACAGGUUGUGGAAAAUUCAAGAGAGGUAAACAAAGUUACAUAAAUUCUCAGAACAAUUAACCAAAAGUAACAGAGUGCAUGGGAACUGGUAUAUUAAUCAAAAACAAUAUUAAUAGGCUAAUAUAAAAAUAUUUCUUACAGUCUAUGGUGUGCACGUGCAUGUCCCCAGAUAACACGAUCCCCAGUUGAUCCAUAACACCGGCACCCACAUUUACGUCAAAAAUAAGGUGGAUAGUUUCACUAAAGAACUGAAGGGGAUCUAAAAGUUAGCCAUUGCAGUGGUGGUCAUGCUGCUCCCACACGCGACUUCAGUGGAUGUGGCGUUUUCACCCACCGUCCUUUGAUUAAAGACGAAAAAGGAACAUCUGAUAUUACCUGAAGGACGGACACUCAACUAAUCUCUCACUCUCUUGGUAUUUGGCGGGUCGCAAGCAAGGUGCAUACCGCCACCUACUGUACCGGAAUAUGCAACCUCAUGGCUUCACGUACUUAUAAAAGGUGACAAUAGCAUCAGAUGGGGAACAGUUUUCUGUUCCUACUCAUACCCCAGGGACAACUCUGCCGUCCUAUGCCAAGGAUUUGCAGCAAUUUGUGGCCUCCUGUCCCCAACUUAGUAAGAAAAUUGAGGACAUGAAAAAAGAAAAUAAGCUGCUACCUAUAAAAAAUAGGUUUCGGCAUUAAUUUUUUUUUUUUUUUUUUUGUACAAUUUGUUUAAACCAAUUGUUUGUUUUCUCUGUUCAACUGUUGGCAAUUAUUGUUAUUUAUACACUUUGUACAGUGUGAUUUCAAGAUUAUUUCUGUUCUGUUUACAGUUUGUACAGUGUUGAUGUCAUUUCAACAUUGUGAUUGUUUAUUGUUAAACUUGUUUUAAUAAAUGUUUUUGGUUUAAUUGUGCUACUGUUCUUUUACAAGUACUAAUUUAGAAAUUUGUUGAUAAUGCUAAUGGUGAAGCUAGGUUUGUCUGUUUCAGCAUACUGGUUUAAUGUUGUAUUUACCCAGUAACUACACAGAACAAGGGGGUAACAAGCGCCAUUUUAAUUUACAGCCCGCAGGAGUUACACUUACCCUGUAAAUACACAGUUGAAACGGGUAACAAACACUACUUACUAUGUAACAAUACGAAACAACACUAUUUGCACAGUAAUUACAGAGAAAGGUACUCU